Long non-coding RNA from Glycine soja, 4536 nucleotides. RefSeq lists it as uncharacterized. The transcript is spliced from 9 exons. The record is from RefSeq and is a predicted model, not a curated record. Lineage: Eukaryota; Viridiplantae; Streptophyta; Magnoliopsida; Fabales; Fabaceae.
AAUCAAAAACUGCUUUCAAAGUUUCUUGGUAGGGAAGCAUAAGAUCCCAGUGAACAUCCUCCAAUUUGUUGAUGAUACUAUCUUUUUUGGAGAAGCUUCUAUGGAUAAUGUCAAAGCUGUGAAGGCCAUUCUUAGAAGCUAUGAGAUGGUUUCAGGCUUGAGAAUUAACUUUGCCAAGAGCCACUUUGGGGCAAUUGGCCAAUCUGAAGAAUGGUAUUGUUCUGCUGCUGAUUAUCUUAAUUGUGACAUGCUUCAAUUCCCCUUCUGCUACCUAGGGUUGCCUAUAGGCAUUAAUCCGAGAAGAAAGAUGGUGUGGGAGCCUAUCAUUAGAAGGUUUGAGGCUAGGUUGAACAAGUGGAAUCAAAGGAACAUCUCUAUGGCUGGAAGAAUCACCCUUAUCAAUGCUGUUUUAACAGCACUUCCCUUGUUUUACUUGUCUUUUUACAGGGCUCCCUCAACAGUCAUUAAUAGAUUAAAUGCUAUUCAAAGACACUUUUUGUGGGGUGGAAAUUCUGAAGGAAAGAAGAUUGCUUGGAUAGCUUGGAGCCAUGUUUGUUCAUCUAGAGAAAGGGGAGGUUUGGGUAUUAAAGAUAUCAAGGCCCUCAACAAUGCUCUUUUAAUUAAAUGGAAAUGGUUGAUGUUCCAGCAAAGUGACUAGCUAUGGAGCCGUAUCCUGAUUUCUAAAUACAGAGGCUGGAGAGGCUUGGAAGGGGGGCCACCAAAGCCUAAUUUCUCUCAUUGGUGGUCUGACUUGAGAUCCAUUAAUCAGCAUGGGUGUAUGGUUGAGGUAUCUAAGCAGUUUAUUUGGAGGCUGGAAAGAGGUGACCAAAGUUUGUUCUGGGAGGACUAUUGGAUGGAUGGGAGGAUAACUCUUAAAGAUAAAUAUCCAGAGCUAUAUCGUAUCUCCUUGCAAAAACAUCAUACUGUAGCAGAGAUGGGCUCUUUCUGUGAAUCGAGGUGGGAAUGGAAAUUCUCUUGGAGGCGCAAUCUGUUUGACAAUGAAAUGGGGAUAGCCUCAGAUUUUCUUGAUCAGACUGCUGUCAUCAACUUAAAUGUUUUGUCAAAGGAUAGCUGGGUGUGGGGAGCUGCUUCUAAUGGGAUAUUCUCUUCUAAAUCUGCUUAUCUUUGCAUUAAAGCUGAGCUGUCUCCUGCAGAUCAUCAACUUGGUUUCUGCCAGCUGUGGGAUACUAAAAUUCCUCCUAGAGCCUUAACCUUUGCGUGGAGAUUGCUGUGGGAUAGGCUUCCUACUAAGGAGAACCUAUCCAGGAGAAAUGUUGAUCUGGUCAAUGACUUAUGCCCCUUCUGUCAAAGCAGCUUAGAAUCUGCUUCCCACUUGUUUUUCUCUUGUCACAAAGUUAUGCCUUUGUGGUGGGAAUUUAACACCUGGGUUAAGAAGGAUAGAGCUCUUCACUGCAGGCCCAUGGAGCACUUCCUUCAGCAAUAUUCCAUAGCAGGUUCGAAGGCUUCGAAUACAAGAAGGAAAAUUUGGUGGAUAGCAGCUACAACGUCCAUAUGGAAGCUCCGUAAUGAUGUCAUCUUUCAUAAUCAGCCUUUCCAGAUUUCUAAGUUGGUGGAUAACACUAACUUUCUUACUUGGUCCUGGCUGAGGGGGUGGGAAAAGGACUUCAAUGCCCCCUUUCAUCAAUGGUCCUCAACCAUGCCUAUGGCAUUUAUUUAGUUUGUGGUCUGCUGGGCUAAGGGUUUUGGGGGAUUCUUGUAGGGCAUUUGUGUUUUGUAUUUUUGAACUCAUGUUCCUGGAGACUUUAGCUCCUUCUUAUCAUGUAGUACCCCUGGUACUAUUAUUUGAUUAAUAUAUAUAUAUUAUCUUUGCAGUUCAAAAAAAAAAACUUACAAAGGUUUUGAUACCACAAGGACUAAAUAUUCUAAAAGCUCGGGCUGUUGGUGUAUGCCCAAGAUUGAUAUUAUAUGCAUAAAAAAUAUGCUUAAUGGUUAUUGGCAAUAUUGGCAUUAGUGUAGAACUAAAUAUAUUUUGGUUGUUUGGAUCUCAUGUUUUUCCUUUCAUUCUGUGGUAUGAUUUUCAUAAUUUUUGUCUCAAUUCUGAAAAUAAAAAAGCCCAAUGACAUAAAAUCAUAUUGAUAUCAUAUAUUAUAACCAAUUAGAAUAUAUGUAAUGUCAAAGAUUGUCGAUGUGGACUAAGCUUGAUUGUCAUAUUCUAUCAUGAAAGGUGCUAUUGGUUGUUUAUUUUGUUUUGGUUCUAAAUUUUAUGCUUUUACUGUUAGAUUUACUUUAGUAAUGGUGGAGAGUUGAUUGGUAUUCCUCUAGGGAGGAACUUUUUGGAAAAGUUGUCAUGGUCAGAUUUGAUUCUAACAUAUUGCUCAAGCGAGAGUGUGAUGAGAAGAACCAAUCAGUUUCUAAUGUAGUAUAUACGAUUAAAUAUUUACCCAAAGCUGGAGCAAAGGUCAUCUUGGUGAGUGAUUGGAAUAUGAAUAAUCUAGAACUUCAGAGUCAGUUGCAGGUACUUUCUUAAAGCCUUUUUGUAAAUCCUUGUUUUCAGUUUCCAGUUGCCAUGGCGAAGUUUGGCUAUUAUGCCAUUAUAUGAGCUGUUUACAGCAAUUCUAGUUUAUUUAAGGGGAGAAAAGACAGAAGAAAUUUAUUUAAAUCAAAACUGCAAUCAAUGUGAGCAAUGAAAUUAACAAAUGACUUCUUUUAUGUGAGGAAGCUUCCAUGUUGGAUGAUUGAUAAUCUCUAUGCUAUAGAUUUCUUGUCAGAAGUUCUUCAAAUACAAGUUGUUCCACUGCAUGGAAUUUCUUUUAACAAGCUAUCAAAGAUGAAUGGCCUUGAGAAAGAGAAUAUCCAUCUUCUUGAGAAUCUUUCUAAUAUCAAAGAGGAAGUUGCUAACUGUGUGGAGUUUGCUAGAGUAUUAUCGUCAGGAGUUGACAUCUUUGUCAAUUACUCCUUCUCCAACUCUCAUAAAGUUCUAGCAUCUACUGUUGGUGUCACCCGUUUCUGGUAUGCCUGUAUCGCUGGUUUUUACUUUGAGGAGAGGCUUUGUCUACUGAAGAAUCUUGCAGAGGCAAGCAGGAAGCCAUAUGUAGCAAUUCAAUCCAGAUUGGAGGUGGUAAUCUCUAUGAUAAAGCAGCUUCCUUUCAGUUUUUAGCUUCCAGAUGUCAAUGGUUUGUAUUUGUGGGAAUGAUGCCAUUUCAAGUAAUGCAUGCAUUAGGAGUAUCUGUUCCUCGUAAUUUAGUGGACCAUAAGGCAUUUAAUGAAGCUCUAGAUACAGUGCGACUUACUCGAGAUAGAAACAUGCAGAUUCUGUAUCCAAAAGAUUUUUGGUGCAGAAAAAAAUGUGAUCCAAAGCAAUUGCAAGUAUUUCCUUCUCAUGGAAUUUUGGAUGGUUAGGUGCCUGUUGACCUUGGACCUGUCUCAUUGGAUGAAAUUUGUUCUAUGCUUGCAAAUUGUAAGAAAAUAAUUUGGAUUGGUCCUGUGAAAUUUGCUGAUUCAAGUAAAUACACCAAUGAGGCAUCUAAAUUGACAAGAAUACUUGAACAACUAAGCCAGAACAACUGUGAAAUAGCAGUUGUUGGGACUAUGGCAAGCAAACUGGCAAUGGGCUUUUUCUUCUUGAAAUGGCUAGAAGGGAGCAAGAUCUAAACUUCCUUGGUUUGGAGAUCAAUGAAAAGGUACUGUAUCGCUACUAAUGCAACAUCAACAUUCCAUUCUAUUGUUUCUUCUUAUCCAGGAGAGUUAGUUCUUGUCUCAAUACAGUGUCCAAACCCUGAUUUCAAUAAACCUGAGCAUAGAUGGAGGAUGCUGCAGAGAUCUUUAAUCGAAGCAGUGGUGGAUCUUCUAGCACCUAAUGGGAAGAUCUUUCUGCAAUCCGAUGUAGAAGCCGUGGCAAUAAGAAUGAAAGAACAAUUUUUGACAUAUGGCAAGGGUAAGCUUGAUAUGGAGCAUGGCCAAAGUGAGUGGCUUGAGGAAAACCCAUUUGGACUUGAUCAGAUUGGGAAAGGCAUGUUUUAGAGCGUGGGGCCCCCAUGUACCGGAUAAUCAUCUGACAUUAGGGAAGUUUGAGUUGCUAAUGAUGUAAUCCAGAAAUCUGGCUAACACAUCAACCCUCCAAAGGGUUUCUACCUUUUCAGAAUCUAUCACACAGCUAAUGAUUUCUCAUUGCUGGGGCUGUAUUUUACUGCUUUCAUUGCAGGCAUGAACUUCCUUACAGCCUGUGGAGAAUUAUCGAUGAGCACAGUCAAAUGUUCCAUAAGGGUUUCUAACGUUAUUGUAAAAUGUGCACCACUGCAUAUGAUUACUUAACUCCAAGGUAUCUUCAAAGAUGCAUUUAAAAGCUUACCACUGAAAUCAAAGCUGUGGGUCUCAGAUGACCAAAGUUAGCAUUGUGUAUAUUUGUAACGUAGUUAUAUGCGGCUUGGAAAAUAAUAAUUUCUAUUCAUUUUUUUUUUUUGAGAAGGUCUAUGCAUGGUAUUAUGACAUGAUAUUGCAUGCAAGUACAUUUUAUUUUGGUCUAGAAGAUACAAAUUUGUGAAGGGAAUGCUCAAACCAACGUUUUUCGAUUACACA